GCGGCGAGCGAAGCGGGAAGAGCCCAGCGCCGAAUCUCCGGGCCCCGUCUAGGGACCGCGAGAACUGUGGCGUAAGGAAGUCCGAUCCCCGUGGUCGCGCCGGCACCGAAGUCCUUCUGAUCGAGGCGUGCUCAAUCCCAGGGCGGGUGUCAGGCCCCUGCCGGACGCCGGCCGGCCGCGGACCAGGGCUUCCGGGAGUCGGGUUGUUUUGUAGUGCAGCCCAAAGGCGGGUGGUAAACUCCAUCCAAGGCUAAAUACAGGCACGAGACCGAUAGAGC
RNAcentral lists this ribosomal RNA (278 nucleotides) under Odinella nutrix. Its description in RNAcentral is "partial 28S ribosomal RNA". It matches the Rfam family "Eukaryotic large subunit ribosomal RNA", at positions 86 to 343 of the family's 3401-position model. The record is from RNAcentral. Lineage: Eukaryota; Metazoa; Echinodermata; Asteroidea; Brisingida; Odinellidae.